Molecule: ribosomal RNA, 465 nt
Filed under: Vreelandella stevensii
Lineage: Bacteria; Pseudomonadati; Pseudomonadota; Gammaproteobacteria; Oceanospirillales; Halomonadaceae
Description: partial 16S ribosomal RNA
Rfam family: Bacterial small subunit ribosomal RNA
Source: RNAcentral
CCUACGGGGGGCAGCAGUGGGGAAUAUUGGACAAUGGGGGCAACCCUGAUCCAGCCAUGCCGCGUGUGUGAAGAAGGCCCUCGGGUUGUAAAGCACUUUCAGUGAGGAAGAACGCCUGGUGGUUAAUACCCAUCAGGAAAGACAUCACUCACAGAAGAAGCACCGGCUAACUCCGUGCCAGCAGCCGCGGUAAUACGGAGGGUGCGAGCGUUAAUCGGAAUUACUGGGCGUAAAGCGCGCGUAGGUGGCUUGAUAAGCCGGUUGUGAAAGCCCCGGGCUCAACCUGGGAACGGCAUCCGGAACUGUCAAGCUAGAGUGCAGGAGAGGAAGGUAGAAUUCCCGGUGUAGCGGUGAAAUGCGUAGAGAUCGGGAGGAAUACCAGUGGCGAAGGCGGCCUUCUGGACUGACACUGACACUGAGGUGCGAAAGCGUGGGUAGCAAACAGGAUUAGAUAUCCGUGUAGUC